CGUUCCCGGGUCUUGUACACACCGCCCGUCACACCAUGGGAGCGGGUUCUGCCAGAAGUAGUUAGCCUAACCGUAAGGGGGGCGAUUACCACGGCAGGGUUCGUGACUGGGGUG
RNAcentral lists this ribosomal RNA (114 nucleotides) under uncultured bacterium. RNAcentral's name for it is "partial 16S ribosomal RNA". It matches the Rfam family "Bacterial small subunit ribosomal RNA", at positions 1369 to 1482 of the family's 1533-position model. The record is from RNAcentral.